RNAcentral lists this ribosomal RNA (305 nucleotides) under uncultured bacterium. RNAcentral describes it as "bacterial SSU rRNA". It matches the Rfam family "Bacterial small subunit ribosomal RNA", at positions 336 to 655 of the family's 1533-position model. The record is from RNAcentral.
CCCCUACGUGGGGCAGCAGUGGGGAAUAUUGGGCAAUGGGCGCAAGCCUGACCCAGCAACGCCGCGUGAAGGAAGAAGGCUUUCGGGUUGUAAACUUCUUUUCUCAGGGACGAAGCAAGUGACGGUACCUGAGGAAUAAGCCACGGCUAACUACGUGCCAGCAGCCGCGGUAAUACGUAGGUGGCAAGCGUUAUCCGGAUUUACUGGGUGUAAAGGGAGCGUAGGCGGCAGUGCAAGUCAGAAGUGAAAGCCCGGGGCUCAACUCCGGGACUGCUUUUGAAACUGUACAGCUUGAUUGCAGGAGG